Stegodyphus dumicola is the source of this 1377-nucleotide long non-coding RNA. RefSeq lists it as uncharacterized. The record is from RefSeq and is a predicted model, not a curated record. Lineage: Eukaryota; Metazoa; Arthropoda; Arachnida; Araneae; Eresidae.
UUGAUUUUCCCUGCCCUCAUAGUCUGGAACAGUUUAAGUUGAGAUACCCAGUGUACGAGGAAGUGUUACGCUGGCUUUCGGAUUAAUAUCUGGCUUAUUAUUACUCAUGAAGAGAGAAUAUUCUGCUUCAAAUUAGCAUUUCCGAAUCUUAUUCUCUAGAGACAAUGGAAAAGGAAAUUCUGUUGAGAAGAAAUCAAGUUAAAAGAAGAGUCGGCCCACUGAUGGAUCACGGCGCCCCUUGGAGUUCAUUCUACCCGAGUUUGGAGGAGAGAAAUUAAAAAUUCCACCAUAUGAAGUCCUUUCAUUUUCUCAUUAAAAGCGCCACGGUCCAACCCACUGUGGCCUCUAAUAUUUUUCGAGCUUAUGAAUGAGCAGUUUUAAUAGCUGUGCUUGAUUAACUUUGACCUCGACUGUAAAGUUUUAUAGCCUCUCGUGAACUUUCUUUCAUCGUGAAGUACUCAGACGAAUGACUUAAAAACGAGGGGGUAUGAAGAGAAGAAUAUUAUUUCAGAUUGUGGAAUGUUAACAGCAAGCACGAAUCUGGCUUUAUAAAUGUUUUUAAAAGUUUCAAUAGCUUUUUUGAAGUAAAAAAUUAUCUACUAAAUCUUAAAAAUUUUUCGAUAGAUCACUUUUUUAGAAUUUCUGUCAAAUUAAUCGCAUAUUUGUUACAUUUAUAUUUAUGAGGAAAGAGUGUUAAUGUAGUAUAGUAAAAAUAUUCUAAUGUAGAGACAUUAGACAUUAACAUUGUAUUAGUUUCAUUUAUAUUUAUAGCGCAACAGUAUUAAUAUGUUUUAUAACAAAAAAUAAAAAAUAAAGCAACCAAAUUCUGGCAGUGUAUUUAACCAAUUUGUUACUCCCUUCCAAUACCGUUACUAACUUAAUCUUGUAUUAGUUUUUAAUUUAUAUUUAUAACAGAAUAGUAUUAUUAUGUUUUAUAGUAAAAAAUAAUAAAGCAAUCACACUCUUCCAGGUCAUUUAACUUAUUUUGUUAGUUUCAUUACCACUACUAAAUUAAUUUUGUGUUAGACUCAUUCAUUUUUAUAAUAAAACAGUAUUAAUUCGUUUUAUAACAAAUAAAUAAAUAAAUAAACAAACUAGACUCAACAAGUGCAAUUAAGUCAUUCUGUUAUUCUCUUUCAAUACCGUUACCAAACAAUUUUUGUAUUAGUUUCAUUUAUAUUUAUUGGGCAACAGUAUUAAUGUGUUUUAUAAUAAAAAAUAAUAAAGCUACCCAAUUCUGCAGUGUAUUUAACCAUGCUGUUACUCAUUUUCAGUACCGUUAUUAAAUUAAUCUCGUAUUAGUUUAAUUUAUAUUUAUAAGGGAAAUAGUAUUACUAUGUUUUAUAAUCAAGAAUAAUAAAGCAAUCACACAUUUAA